AAUCAACGCUGGCGGCGUGCCUCAGACAUGCAAGUCGAACGAUUAAAGCUCUCUUCGGAGAGUGCAUAAAGUGGCGCACGGGUGAGUAACACGUAAGUAAUCUACCCUCGAGUGGGGAAUAACGUCCGGAAACGGACGCUAAUACCGCAUAAUGCAGCGGCAUCGACAAGAUGACAGUUGUUAAAGAUUUAUCGCUUGAAGAGGAGCUUGCGGCAGGUANAGCUAGUUGGUAAGGUAAUGGCUUACCAAGGCUACGAUCU
This 260-nucleotide ribosomal RNA is filed under the name uncultured bacterium. RNAcentral's name for it is "partial 16S ribosomal RNA". It matches the Rfam family "Bacterial small subunit ribosomal RNA", at positions 32 to 282 of the family's 1533-position model. The record is from RNAcentral.